ACACAUGCAAGUCGAGGGGUAUAGUUCUUCGGAACUAGAGACCGGCGCACGGGUGCGUAACGCGUAUGCAAUCUACCUUUUACAGCGGGAUAGCCCAGAGAAAUUUGGAUUAAUACCACAUAGUAUUAUGAAAUGGCAUCAUUUUAUAAUUAAAGUCACAACGGUAAAAGAUGAGCAUGCGUCCCAUUAGUUAGUUGGUAAGGUAACGGCUUACCAAGACUACGAUGGGUAGGGGUCCUGAGAGGGAGAUCCCCCACACUGGUACUGAGACACGGACCAGACUCCUACGGGAGGCAGCAGUGAGGAAUAUUGGACAAUGGGCGCAAGCCUGAUCCAGCCAUGCCGCGUGCAGGAUGACGGUCCUAUGGAUUGUAAACUGCUUUUAUACGAGAAGAAACCACUCUACGUGUAGAGUCUUGACGGUAUCGUAAGAAUAAGGAUCGGCUAACUCCGUGCCAGCAGCCGCGGUAAUACGGAGGAUCCAAGCGUUAUCCGGAAUCAUUGGGUUUAAAGGGUCCGUAGGCGGCUUUAUAAGUCAGUGGUGAAAUCUCCCCGCUCAACGGGGAAACGGCCAUUGAUACUGUAAGGCUUGAAUUAUUAGGAAGUAACUAGAAUAUGUAGUGUAGCGGUGAAAUGCUUAGAGAUUACAUGGAAUACCAAUUGCGAAGGCAGGUUACUACUAAUACAUUGACGCUGAUGGACGAAAGCGUGGGUAGCGAACAGGAUUAGAUACCCUGGUAGUCCACGCCGUAAACGAUGGAUACUAGCUGUUGGGCGCAAGUUCAGUGGCUAAGCGAAAGUGAUAAGUAUCCCACCUGGGGAGUACGUUCGCAAGAAUGAAACUCAAAGGAAUUGACGGGGGCCCGCACAAGCGGUGGAGCAUGUGGUUUAAUUCGAUGAUACGCGAGGAACCUUACCAAGGCUUAAAUGUAGAUUGACCGGUUUGGAAACAGACUUUUCGCAAGACAAUUUACAAGGUGCUGCAUGGUUGUCGUCAGCUCGUGCCGUGAGGUGUCAGGUUAAGUCCUAUAACGAGCGCAACCC
RNAcentral lists this ribosomal RNA (1044 nucleotides) under Flavobacterium sp. ALI-LH1. RNAcentral's name for it is "bacterial SSU rRNA". It matches the Rfam family "Bacterial small subunit ribosomal RNA", at positions 51 to 1104 of the family's 1533-position model. Lineage: Bacteria; Pseudomonadati; Bacteroidota; Flavobacteriia; Flavobacteriales; Flavobacteriaceae. The record is from RNAcentral.